Molecule: non-coding RNA, 289 nt
Organism: Pelobates cultripes (western spadefoot toad)
Lineage: Eukaryota; Metazoa; Chordata; Amphibia; Anura; Pelobatidae
Source: the annotation of a GenBank genome assembly
CUAGACUGUGGUGAUUAAGCAAUUAGUUAGAUUAUACAGCUUUAUUGGGUGCUAAUAUAUGCACAUUUACUUGCUUGUAGGUAGGACAGGUAAGGUAGUGGAAUGCACCUGGCAUGAUAAGCACUGUGCAUUUUUCUGGUUGGGGUCUCUGGUAUUUUACCUCUGGGGGCACUGUACCACAUCAAUAGCAGAUCUUACAUUGGUGGAAUAAUAGAUCUAUCAGACAGAAAGAGAUGUCACAAGGAAGAAAAGAAAAAAAAAAAAGUAAAUAAAUUAAAAAAACAGCAAC